Molecule: ribosomal RNA, 285 nt
Filed under: Metorchis bilis
Lineage: Eukaryota; Metazoa; Platyhelminthes; Trematoda; Opisthorchiida; Opisthorchiidae
Description: partial small subunit ribosomal RNA
Source: RNAcentral
UUAAUGGAGUAGAAUCCUUUAUUUUCUCUGUUUAUUUUCUCACAGAUUCUCUAGAGGGCUAUUUGAAGAAUAGGAUUAGAGACCCUAGUAUUGAGUCUUAUUUAUUUUGUGGCUUCAUAGUACAAACUAAAAAAAUUUGGCAGCCGACGAUUCUCCCCCGGGGGAGCGUGUGGCAUAAGAGAUGGUCCACUUAUAUCUUUACCACUUUUAUUGUAGGUUAGUGUACGUCCGGUUUAAUACCUCUGAUUAUUGUCUUUAGGUGAAUUUCAGUUAAUUUAGGCCAGG